CCUACGGGAGGCAGCAGUGAGGAAUAUUGGUCAAUGGGAGAGAUCCUGAACCAGCCAAGCCGCGUGAGGGAAGACGGCCCUAUGGGUUGUAAACCUCUUUUGUCGGAGAACAAAAACCGGGACGCGUCCCGCCCCGAGAGUACCCGGAGAAAAAGCAUCGGCUAACUCCGUGCCAGCAGCCGCGGUAAUACGGAGGAUGCGAGCGUUAUCCGGAUUUAUUGGGGUUAAAGGGUGCGCAGGCGGUACGUGAAGUCAGCGGUAAAAUUGCGAGGCUCAACCCCUUCCAGCCGUUGAAACUGCGAGACUUGAGUGGGCGAGAAGUACGCGGAAUGCGCGGUGUAGCGGUGAAAUGCAUAGAUAUCGCGCAGAACUCCGAUUGCGAAGGCAGCGUACCGGCGCCAGACUGACGCUGAGGCACGAAAGCGUGGGGAUCGAACAGGAUUAGAUACCCUUGUAGUC
RNAcentral lists this ribosomal RNA (459 nucleotides) under uncultured bacterium. RNAcentral describes it as "partial 16S ribosomal RNA". It matches the Rfam family "Bacterial small subunit ribosomal RNA", at positions 338 to 795 of the family's 1533-position model. The record is from RNAcentral.